GGGUCGUUAGUGUAGCGGUUAUCAUCCGGGCUUUCCAUUCAUUCGAGUGCCCGGGACAGGGGUUCGACUCUCCUACGACUCA
Molecule: non-coding RNA, 82 nt
Organism: Pseudohyphozyma bogoriensis
Lineage: Eukaryota; Fungi; Basidiomycota; Microbotryomycetes; Chrysozymaceae
Source: the annotation of a GenBank genome assembly